RNAcentral lists this non-coding RNA (393 nucleotides) under Camelus ferus (Wild Bactrian camel). RNAcentral describes it as "Archaeal large subunit ribosomal RNA". It matches the Rfam family "Eukaryotic large subunit ribosomal RNA", at positions 2586 to 2987 of the family's 3401-position model. Lineage: Eukaryota; Metazoa; Chordata; Mammalia; Artiodactyla; Camelidae. The record is from Rfam by way of RNAcentral.
CAUAUUGGCACUGGGGCCAGAAGCCGCCCAGGACCGGGGCCGUACACCUGUUACACGGUAACACAGGUGUUCUAAGGUGAGCUCCAGGAGGACAGAAACCUGUGAGGCGGAGGGGCAAAAGCUCACCUGAUCUUGAGGUUCAGUAUGAAUAUAGACCAUGAAAGUGGGGCCUCACGACACUUCUGACCUUUUGGGCUUUAAGCAGGAGGUAUCAGAAAAGUUCCAACAGGCAUAACCAGCUUGUGGUGGCUAAGCAUUCACAGUGUUGCUGCUUUUUGAUCCUUCGGUGUCAGCACUUCCUGUCAUUGUGAAGCAGAAUUCACCAAGCGUUGGGUUGUUCACCCACUGAUAGAGAAUGUGAGCUGGGAUUACACCGUGGUGAGACAGGUUAGU